This is a small nucleolar RNA of Cavia porcellus (domestic guinea pig), 139 nucleotides long. NCBI's taxonomy places the organism in Eukaryota, Metazoa, Chordata, Mammalia, Rodentia, Caviidae. The record is from Ensembl.
CUGGCCCUGAUUCAAGGCCACAGUGGCUUCCUGAUGCUGUUGGUUUCAAGCAGGAGCCUAAAGAGAUGUCUUUCUAUGAUCUGUUGGCCAUUUCAGAACUUGGGCAGUGAAAUGGUCAAUUUAUUAGAAAGAAACAGCU